GCCUGCGGCAGCUCCUACAGGAUUUAUAUUCACCGAAAUAUUGCGGGUGAACAUCAAUCCUGUAGGAGCUGCCGCAGGC
This 79-nucleotide unclassified non-coding RNA is filed under the name Pseudomonas lini. The record is from RNAcentral. Lineage: Bacteria; Pseudomonadati; Pseudomonadota; Gammaproteobacteria; Pseudomonadales; Pseudomonadaceae.